GUAGUUGUGGCUCAGUGGUAGAGCACUUGCCUCCCAUGUAUGAGGCCUUAGGUUCGAUCCUCAGCACCACA
This is a non-coding RNA of Ictidomys tridecemlineatus (thirteen-lined ground squirrel), 71 nucleotides long. NCBI's taxonomy places the organism in Eukaryota, Metazoa, Chordata, Mammalia, Rodentia, Sciuridae. The record is from Rfam.